AGCGGCGGACGGGUGAGUAAUGCCUAGGGAUCUGCCCAGUCGAGGGGGAUAACAGUUGGAAACGACUGCUAAUACCGCAUACGCCCUACGGGGGAAAGGAGGGGACCUUCGGGCCUUCCGCGAUUGGAUGAACCUAGGUGGGAUUAGCUAGUUGGUGAGGUAAUGGCUCACCAAGGCGACGAUCCCUAGCUGUUCUGAGAGGAUGAUCAGCCACACUGGGACUGAGACACGGCCCAGACUCCUACGGGAGGCAGCAGUGGGGAAUAUUGCACAAUGGGGGAAACCCUGAUGCAGCCAUGCCGCGUGUGUGAAGAAGGCCUUCGGGUUGUAAAGCACUUUCAGUAGGGAGGAAAGGGUGUAACUUAAUACGUUAUAUCUGUGACGUUACCUACAGAAGAAGGACCGGCUAACUCCGUGCCAGCAGCCGCGGUAAUACGGAGGGUCCGAGCGUUAAUCGGAAUUACUGGGCGUAAAGCGUGCGCAGGCGGUUUGUUAAGCGAGAUGUGAAAGCCCUGGGCUCAACCUAGGAAUAGCAUUUCGAACUGGCGAACUAGAGUCUUGUAGAGGGGGGUAGAAUUCCAGGUGUAGCGGUGAAAUGCGUAGAGAUCUGGAGGAAUACCGGUGGCGAAGGCGGCC
Molecule: ribosomal RNA, 636 nt
Filed under: Shewanella sp. EHL_23
Lineage: Bacteria; Pseudomonadati; Pseudomonadota; Gammaproteobacteria; Alteromonadales; Shewanellaceae
Description: bacterial SSU rRNA
Rfam family: Bacterial small subunit ribosomal RNA
Source: RNAcentral